AAGAAAGCAAAAAGAACAGAUGAAGGAAAACUUAACUUUCCGGUGGUUUGAUUCCUCCUUUGAUUUCUUUUUCGGUUCUCUUUUGUCUGUCCUCUCUCCUCUCCUUCCUCUCUUCUCCCUCCUUCCUCUCUCCUCCGUCUCCCUUUGCUCUCCUCUCUCAAUCUUGUUCUUUCUGUGUCUCUCCUCAAACCAAAGUGUUGCAGUGAAGGACACGAGCCAUUGAAAUCAGGGUGGGGCCUGACAGCCACAGUGUGGCCCCCGCCCCUCGCUGGGCAGGAGCAGAGAGAGGGGAGAGCCCUGAGACCACAGGGCUUUGGCCUGGGCAGCUUCCACGUUCUGCCGGACACUUUGAGGAGAGGCAGAUGGAGCCCCAGGCCUCAGCGUUCUCUUUUUUCUUGUCUCCCUUCUCCCACCCGGGAAAUGAAACUGUUGGGCUGGGCCACGGAGGCAGCAGAGACUCGGCCAUUGCAGGGGCCUCCGGGUGCCUUGUCCGGGCAGUGGUGGAGUAGCCACCCCUCCCACCCCUGGCACGAUGGGGCCUGGCACCUUGACCCAUCCUCGCCGGAAUGUAAGCAUCUCCGCUGAAUGACUCCCUGCCCUUACCCUACCUCUGAGUUUGUCCAUGUUUAUUUCCUGAAGAGAGAAGGGACUGGCAAGAGGGCCUGGGCCCCAGCCCAAGGGUGGAGAGGGGGCCAAGGGCUCCUGACCAAAUAGGAAGGACAUUUGAGCAGAGCAAAAUGAAAGGAAUUACAACCAAAAACCCCCUCCGAGAAGACAGGCAGCAUGGAAGGCAUGGUGGAGAUGACUCAAACAAAAACUAUGAUUCUAGACCAAAAAGGAAAAAAAAAAAAAAAAAAAAAGGAAAGAAAAUCCAGGACUCACCACCACCCACUUCAUCCUGCUUCCUCCCCAUCAAGUCCCACCACCUGGGACCUCUCCCCACCCCAGUAUGGGGUAGUGGGGCAAACAGACGAGGAGGAGCAGGGGGCAGGGAUGGGGCAGAUGCCCUGACGUUGGUGGAGGGAACCCUGUGCAGCCAGGGGUGCUGGGGACCCUCCCCAUCCAACCCUCACACCUAGGAAAAGAAAAACAAGAAAAAAGAAAAUUCCUGGGAGGGGGAAAAAUAACCAAAUCCCAAGCUUUAACUACAGCUGUGAAACCAAAUAUUGGGAAGGGGGUAGGAGGGAAGGAGGGGCAGGUGAGCCCCAGGUCUCCCCCCUGGGCCCCCCUCCCCCGAGGACUCGAGAUAAGGCACCAAAUACCUCAUAGAACUUUAAUGUUAAAAAAAGGAAACCAAAUAUCGUUGGCUGGGGGCCAGCCAGGGCAAGGGGCUGGGGGGCUGGAGGGAGCCAGGGUUGGGAAGGUGAUGGGGGAAUUCAUGCCCCCCACCCCCAUCUGCCCCUUCCACUCUGGUCCCCCGUCUCGACUCCGGGAAACAAAACUAUCUCAUCGUUUUUAUUUUGUGGUCUGUACAGAGCCUGUGUCCGUGUGUCUGUGUGUGAGCGAGAGAGUUGGAGGGCUGGGGAGCUUUAUGUGGGGGAUGGGGAGGGAAACCCCAGGCUAGGCUAUGGGCUAGGUUAGGUGUCCGAGGUUGGGAGCUGAGGGCCUGGGCUAGAAAGAGAGGAGAGAUGAGUGGAUUGGAGCAGUGGGGAGCCCUCUGAAUUUCUCUUCUCCCCAACCUUGACCUCCUACUUAAGGGAGGGACAGAGACUGGGUCUACCCUAAUGGUGGGCCUUUUCAUUGUGCCAAAAAAAAAAAAAAAAACUGAUGCCAGUAACUAAACCACCUCUCUCUGUUCUCUUCUGGGGGGUGGGGUGGGUGUGUGUGUGUUGGGGUGGGUAGGGAUGGGGAACCCAAGCCCCAGUAGGAGUUGGGGCUGAGAUCAGGAGGAGGGGAAGGAUAUGAGUUUUCUACCCAUCUCCCCGGAGAAGGCCAUGAUGGGCUCUCCAAGCCCUGGGGAGAUUUGGCGAGGGACUAGCCAAGUCAGGGUGACCUCUUGACCUGACUAGUUUUUCUAACCCACCCGAAUACCAGGGUGCCUCUCUCUUCCUCUAGCCCAGGGUAGGGGGACCUGAGUGAGAGAGUGAGACAGACAGCAAGAUUGAGACACGCGGGCCCCCACUGGUCUCUGAGUGGGAAAGGCAAGUGCGAGAGAUAAAGGCCUCCAAGAGAAAAAAGAAACAAACCAAAGAUUUAACCAUUUAAAAAAAAAAAAAAAACCCACAGACAACUCCGCUACCUUUUUAUACGUUGGAAAAAAAAGUGAAAAAAAUUUAAAAAUAAAAAUUAAAAAAAAAUACACAAAAACUCCAAGCCGCAGGUCCUUCAUGCGGUUUAAACUUUGACCUCAGCAGUCUCCAAAGCAAGACGACGAUGACAAAGGCGGAAACAAAGAAAAAAUAAUGUAUAUUUUUAAGUAUUUGUCCUUGAAUUGUUAGCUCCUUGUUAAACAAACAAGAAAAGGAGAGAAAAAUCCAGAGAGAAGUGUUGCUGGGAUGGAGACGACUAUUUACUAUGUCUGUGACCCCUCCCUUUUGCCUCCCUCCCCUUCCUCUCUUUCCUGUCCUCUAUCCUUGCUGCCCCUCCCCCAACCUGUCCCCCAAACCCAGGGGCUCAGUAUUUAUUUAUUUAUAUAAUUGCAGGGUGACUGGGGGCCUCUCUCGGCAACUCAUAGAGGGCCUUUGGAUCAUGGUGGGGUGGGGAAAGAGUGAGGAGUCUUUGGGAAGAGCAGGGGCCUGAACUUUGAUCAACUCCUUUCUGGCCUCUUGUCCCACUGCUGCCACCAUCACCUUCCAAAUCCAGGGCUGCACUAGGGCAAGGUGACCACCCUACCUCGUAAAGACCUGAUUGGCGCAGCCCGUUCUGGUGUGGGUGUCUCUCACCGCCCAGAAUGACUAGGUUGGAAUGGAGGUGGGUGAAGUUGGAGGGGGUGGCAAGUACAAGGCAAGGGUGCCCAAGAACUGGCAUCCAGAAAUCAGCCCCAGAGUAGACCUGUCUUUCCUCCAUCCUCACCAAGUUAGCCUCCCUUUCAGUUCCGUCUGACCCCUGUGUUGGUAGCCCCUUCCUUCCCUUUCUGUACCCCCUCCCUGUCUCUUCUCGUGGUAGCGGGUUAGCGUUUCAGUGUUCUUAACUCCAAUCUGCUUGUUCAUUGUACAAUGUGCUUCUUUUAAGGCCCCAUUUUUGUAACUUGAGUGUGUCAUUCAUCUGGACAACAAACAUCAAAAAAUAAAAAAUUAAAAACUGUACAGAGAGAAAUGA
Molecule: RNA transcript, 3258 nt
Organism: Macaca mulatta (Rhesus monkey)
Lineage: Eukaryota; Metazoa; Chordata; Mammalia; Primates; Cercopithecidae
Source: RefSeq, a predicted model, not a curated record